AUGUGUCGUUCAGUAGCCAUUUUUCUCAAGGAUUGCCUCCUAAACGAAUUUGAUAGCAGUAAAAUUGUCAACACUCUGGCUAGGGCUGUCUGGUAGGAGAAGUUUUGUAUGUACUGCUGGAAUAUGCUUGUUAUAAUACUACUCAUAAGGAAAUAGAAAGUAUACAUUUUAUCUUAUCUGUAAUAUUUUCAUCCUUUUUGUAUUUUAGUUACUAAUGAACUCUCGAAAAAUGUUGGGCUCUUAUCAAUUCCUUAAAAUCUUGGCUAGGUCAUUUUAUCUGAUAUCUCCAUAUAAUCUUCUGAAGUCUUUGCUUGGUCAUCAAACUAGGAUUAAUUUAGUGACAUGAUUGGUGUAUUUGAUCAAAUCAACUAUACUUCAUAUCCCAGCUCCUUGAAAGGAUAUCAACAUAUGUAAGCGCUGUUAGUUACUAAUGAACUCUCGAAAAAUGUUGGGCUCUUAUCAAUUCCUUAAAAUCUUGGCUAGGUCAUUUUAUCUGAUAUCUC
This 503-nucleotide long non-coding RNA is filed under the name Olea europaea (common olive). Its description in RNAcentral is "long non-coding RNA (OEUR_LNC005009)". Lineage: Eukaryota; Viridiplantae; Streptophyta; Magnoliopsida; Lamiales; Oleaceae. The record is from RNAcentral.